CAGGGAUUGCCCUAGUAACGGCGAGUGAAGCGGCAACAGCUCAAAUUUGAAAUCUGGCUCCGGCCCGAGUUGUAAUUUGCAGAGGAAGCUUCUGGUGAUAUACUGUCUAAGUCCCCUGGAACGGGGCGCCACAGUGGGUGAGAGCCCCAUUUGACAGCUGUAGAUCCUGUGUGAAGCUCCUUCGACGAGUCGAGUAGUUUGGGAAUGCUGCUCAAAAUGGGAGGUAAAUUCCUUCUAAAGCUAAAUAUUGGCCAGAGACCGAUAGCGCACAAGUAGAGUGAUCGAAAGAUGAAAAGCACUUUGAAAAGAGAGUUAAACAGCACGUGAAAUUGUUGAAAGGGAAGCGCUUGUGACCAGACUUGCGCUGGGCUGAUCAUCCGGUGUUCUCACCGGUGCACUCGGCCCAGCUCAGGCCAGCAUCGGUUUUGGUGGGGGGAUAAAGGCGCUGGGAACGUAGCUCCUCCGGGAGUGUUAUAGCCCAGCGUGCAAUACCCCCGCUGGGACCGAGGUUCGCGCAUCUGCAAGGAUGCUGGCGUAAUGGUCAUCAGCGACCCGUCUUGAAACACGGACCAAGGAGUCAAGGUUUUGCGCGAGUGUUUGGGUGUCAAACCCGCACGCGUAAUGAAAGUGAACGUAGGUGAGAGCUUCGGCGCAUCAUCGACCGAUCCUGAUGUAUUCGGAUGGAUUUGAGUAGGAGCGUUAAGCCUUGGACCCGAAAGAUGGUGAACUAUGCUUGGAUAGGGUGAAGCCAGAGGAAACUCUGGUGGAGGCUCGCAGCGGUUCUGACGUGCAAAUCGAUCGUCAAAUCUGAGCAUGGGGGCGAAAGACUAAU
Molecule: ribosomal RNA, 832 nt
Filed under: Sordariales sp.
Lineage: Eukaryota; Fungi; Ascomycota; Sordariomycetes; Sordariales
Description: partial large subunit ribosomal RNA
Rfam family: Eukaryotic large subunit ribosomal RNA
Source: RNAcentral